GAGUGGAAGGAUGCAGACCAAGUGAGGUCAACAAUAGCCGAAGAAGCAGCAGAUGUCUUUCCCAUGCUGAUGGAUUUGAGCAUUCAACAUUGCCCCCAACUGACCACUCUCCCGUGCUCAUGCAAAAUUCUAGACGUGCAAUAUUGCCGCAAUCUAACAAGUAUAAAAACGGGUUACGGCACUGCUUCUGUUGAGAAGUUGAAGAUUGGCUGUUGCAACAAUCUUAGGGAGCUGCCAGAAGAUGUGUUUGGAUCGAGUUUGCAGCGGCUGAGCAUCGAAAGUUGCCCAAGAUUAAUUAGUCUGGGAGUAAAUGGGAAGAAAUGCCCACUACCAUGUCUUGAACGAUUGAGUAUUCAAUAUUGCUACGGGUUGACCACUAUAUCCGACAAAAUGUUCGAGUCAUGCCAGUCUCUGAGGUCCCUGUCGGUGGAGUGUUGCCCCAAUCUGGUGUCAUUUUCGCUUAAUUUGCAGGAGACGCCUUCUCUCGAGGAUUUCGCCCUGCUCAACUGUCCCAAAUUGAUCCCUCACAGGUUCAAUGGAUUUGCUUUUGCCACCAGCUUAAGAAAUUUGUGGAUCGGUCCCUUCUCCUCAGAUGACUCCUCAAUCGAUGGUUUUGACUGGUCUGGUUUAAGAUCUGCAUCAACACUGUGUAAGGUUCACUUAGAAGGGUUAUGUCACUCGGAUUCCCUGCCACACCAGCUUCAAUACUUGACUACCCUCACUUCACUAAACCUGAAGAACUUUGGACGAAUAGAAGUGCUACCUGAUUGGAUUGGAAACCUUGUGUCCCUUGAAACCCUACAGCUAUCGAAUUGCGAAAAGCUUCGAUGUUUACCGUCUGAGGCUGCCAUGAGACGACUCACAAAGUUAACAAGUGUUGAAGUUCGUCGGUGUCCUCUAUUAAGACAACGAUACACUCCCCAAAGAGGCAUCUACUUGGAGGAGUAGAUUUCAAGUUAUUUUGUAAGAUUUUCCUAUCUAAAGUUCACACUUAUAUGUAUACAAAUAUUUUGACAUAAAUUUGCUCUUCAGUCUCUUAUACUCUGUUUUCUCCGUCUCUUCUAUGAAAUUUCACUAGUCUUGUAAAGUUAAUCUCUGUAAUCCUCUUCUUUUUGGGCAGACCUCGGUUUCUCUUCAAAGAUUAGUUUUAACAGAUCCCGGUUUUGAACAAAUUAGAAGAGACCAAAAUUCUGGAUUUCCUCUGCCUCUCUGAAUCACUGAAAGAUUUUGAACAUCUUAAAAACUCCUUACACUUCAAAUUGUUACAUUCUAUUUGGCCAAGGACGAAAUUAUUAGCAAUGGUGAAUACACAAUUAGCCUCUUUGUUUGAAUGUGUUGGAAAAUGUUUCAUUUGAUUUGUAAUGCUACAUGUACGUGGACCCAUUCUUCAUUUUUCUGUCACCUGAUAUUGCCGGUUUGAACGGACAACAUUAAAGCUAAUCAAGAAACAUUUGCGAAGAAAAUUCAAGAAACAAUUUUCUGUUCAAGAUACAAUAAUUUUGGAUAGUUGUUUGUCAUGUUUCACAAGUUCCAGAAGUUUAUACAUCACAAUUACCAUGCAGGCCAGCAGCGAGAGCGAACAAGAAGAAGUCGAUGACAAUGAACAAGCAGGCAGAGAUGGUGAACAAAAAAGCAUUGAUAGUGUGCUCAAACAUCAGCUUCAUGGUGUUUCCCAUCGUUGCUGAAGAAGAAGAAGAGCUUAGGAGGUUUGUUGUGUAGAAAAGUGAUAAUGGAGCAUUUCUCUCCCCAAGAACUCUUUUAUUACCUCCAUCCAAUUUACUAAGAGUACAAGGAAUUGGUGCAACUUUGCAUUCUAGUAUGCUUGAGUCAUGUAAUUGGCCUAAGAACAGGGCAUUUUCCUGUACUUUUAUGUGUUUGUGAACUUUUACCCUAUGCCAACAGCUUAUCUUUUGCUCUUUAAGAUUUUUUUAUUUACUUGGUGCUAAACAUGUCUUUUGAUUGUGAAAGAAUCUGGUCUUUUCCGAUUUUCUUGCACUAGUUACUAGACCAUAACUUUUCUUUGCUUCCAUUGUUCAUUAUAAUCGGAGCCAUACUGAAAUGUACCAUUGUGAUGCUUUCUAGAGUCUUAGGAGGCAUAGCUUAUGUUAUUGGACAAAGGACACCAUCGUUUACACACCAAUUGUCACACGAUAUUGCAUAAUAGGAGAAACUUCUUGAAUUCUGGUGGGCUUUGAUUGGUUUAAGUAGGAUGAUGUUUCUUUUAUGUGUUGUACUGACCCCUUCUGUAUAGUUUACAUAGAUCUAAUUGGGCUGCUGCUUCUGAUAUGAUCCCAGAAGUACAUACGUUUAGUUUUUUAAGCUGCAAUAUCGGUUUUUCUCAAUGCACUGCCAUCACUAGUUUGUUAUAUUGGUUUCUGGUUGGUAGAUGAAUUUUUAUUGAGUUGAAGUUUCAUUUCUUAGCAUUUAUUAAUUCUAAUUUGAAUUUGCUUUUAAAUAUUUAGGCCAUGUUCUCGCUUAAAGGUAGGGAAAAUACAUUAGAGAAGAUUUGAGGAGGCUAUUGAUUACGUAAAUGAGCAGCUUCCUUCAGAUGAUUCCUCUGUUCCAGCUGUAAGACUGUUUGUUGCCAUAAAUUCAACUCUCUAGUUCUGGCUUUUCUGAAUCAGCCGAACUGAACUCUAGCUUUUUGAUUGUUUUGCAGGCUUCCGAUGCUAACCUGAAAAAUGCAACGGACAGGAAAGAGGCACAAAUCCCUCCGGAGCUUAUAACUCGAUGUGUAGCUAUUCUGCUUGACCACUCUCCCGUGCUCAUGCAAAAUUCUAGACGUGCAAUAUUGCCGCAAUCUAACAAGUAUAAAAACGGGUUACGGCACUGCUUCUGUUGAAAAGUUGAAGAUUGGCUGUUGCAACAAUCUUAGGGAGCUGCCAGAAGAUGUGUUUGGAUCGAGUUU
This 2908-nucleotide long non-coding RNA is filed under the name Coffea arabica (coffee). RNAcentral's name for it is "long non-coding RNA (CARA_LNC000052)". Lineage: Eukaryota; Viridiplantae; Streptophyta; Magnoliopsida; Gentianales; Rubiaceae. The record is from RNAcentral.